GUCUGCACGUCUGGUAGCAUCUCUGGCUGCUGUUGACCUUGUUUUUGGAGUAAAACACGGUGGAAGCUGAAUUAGUGAGGAUGACUCCUGCUCCUGUCAUCUCUAAGCUCCUCACACAUCUUUACCUGCACAUGAGGAAAAUCACUCCUGUAGAAUGCAGAUGUUCAGAGGGAGAUGAUGCCACAUCUGGUCCAGCUGAUGGAAGGUCUUGAAGUUCUCUGACUGGCCUGGACUGAAGAUGGUCGUCUCUCUGGAUUUAAGGUUCAGAUGCUCAGUAACAAACUCCACCAAUGAGCCAACAGGGAAGCUUUAGGUUUAUUAAAUGUUGCUAUGAAGGUUUCACUGUUUUUCUUUGUGAAUGCAAUGUGCUCCAACUGAAACUUGACUUUGAACUAAGUAAGUAAAUCCUUCCAUCUGAAAGGAUUUAGUUGCAUUAAUAACCUCAUAACAUUCUAAUUUUUAUUCCAGUCUUGGUUGGAAAUAGAAUCUCUGUAUUGAUUCAGGUAAAAACUGAACUUCACAGCAUGUUGGAGCAAAACAACCAGAUGAAAACUGUGAUGGUGUUGGAUUGUCAGACCGUAAUGUUGCAGCUCAAAGCAGCUUUUCUAUCUCAGUUCAUUCUGACAUUCAGCUAUGAAUCAACACAGCAGAUGGUGAUCCAUGCUGUGGAAGUCUCACAUCUCCUGAUUUAAUGGAGCUGCUUUGCACUUUUUACACUGUUUAUUCACCAACACUUUAUUUAAUAAAAGUCUCAUCUAGUUUUUAUGAGGAAUGUGAUGUUUUAAUUUCUCUGUGAAUAACUGCAGUCUAAUGGAACAGCUGGAAUUGUAACAUCUGUCCUGAUAUUGAUCAUGAAGUAUUGAUCAGAAUACUUAUGAUCAGUAGUCAUCCCUGAAGUUUUACAUUCAUACAUACAUACAGCAGAAACUUUAGCGUUGCCAUGGAUACAUGAGUGUUAAAUUCUGUCCAUGUUUCCAUUUUGGGAAAUGCAGUCCAGCAGAUGAGUUUGUUUUUACUGCCAGCUACCAUUCAGUCUGAGAUAUUAAGAAUAAAUAAAUGUGCAUCACGUGGAAAUGAACAAAUUCUAUUUUUAUUUAUUCCUACAGCUGCUGCAUGUAAAGUUCCAAAAUGUGGAGGAAUUUAGUCUCACAAUCACAGACAAUAAGUAUUAUCUGAAAGUCAGGUUAUUGUUGUUUAUCAGCACAAUACAAAAGAUUCAUGUUAGAAAUAUUCCAGUUAAGACUCUAGAAUAUCAGGAUUUAUGUAAAUUUACCUCAAUAAUAUGAAUGUUCAGGUUAAGAUUGUGCAGUGAUAUUUAUUAUGUGAGUUUAGCUGAUUAAAGUUUA
This is a long non-coding RNA of Amphiprion ocellaris (clown anemonefish), 1346 nucleotides long. RefSeq lists it as uncharacterized. The transcript has 3 exons. NCBI's taxonomy places the organism in Eukaryota, Metazoa, Chordata, Actinopteri, Pomacentridae. The record is from RefSeq and is a predicted model, not a curated record.